Molecule: ribosomal RNA, 540 nt
Filed under: uncultured Glomeromycotina
Lineage: Eukaryota; Fungi; Glomeromycota
Description: SSU rRNA
Rfam family: Eukaryotic small subunit ribosomal RNA
Source: RNAcentral
AGGGCAAGUCUGGUGCCAGCAGCCGCGGUAAUUCCAGCUCCAAUAGCGUAUAUUAAAGUUGUUGCAGUUAAAAAGCUCGUAGUUGAAUUUCGGGGUUCUACCGUUGGUCGGGCUAUUGUCUGUACUGGCGUGUAGAAUUUCUACCUUCUGGAGAACUAUCAUGUUAUUAAUUUAGCGUGGUAGGAAACCAGGACCUUUACCUUGAAAAAAUUAGAGUGUUUAAAGCAGGCUAACGCUUGAAUACAUUAGCAUGGAAUAAUGAAAUAGGACGUUCGAUCCUAUUUUGUUGGUUUCUAGGAUUGACGUAAUGAUUAAUAGGGAUAGUUGGGGGCAUUAGUAUUCAAUUGUCAGAGGUGAAAUUCUUGGAUUUAUUGAAGACUAACUACUGCGAAAGCAUUUGCCAAGGAUGUUUUCAUUAAUCAAGAACGAAAGUUAGGGGAUCGAAGACGAUCAGAACCGUCGUAGUCUUAACCAUAAACUAUGCCGACUAGGGAUCGGAUGAUGUUAAUUUUUUAAUGACUCUUCGGCGCCUUACGGGAA